This 414-nucleotide ribosomal RNA is filed under the name uncultured microorganism. RNAcentral describes it as "bacterial SSU rRNA". It matches the Rfam family "Archaeal small subunit ribosomal RNA", at positions 459 to 872 of the family's 1478-position model. The record is from RNAcentral.
CAGCCGCCGCGGUAAUACCAGCCCCGCGAGUGGUCGGGACGAUUAUUGGGCUUAAAGCGUCCGUAGCCGGGUUGGGAAGUCCUCCGGGAAAUCUGGCCGCUUAACGGUCAGAAUGCCGGAGGAUACUCCCAGCCUAGGGAGCGGGAGAGGCCGAGGGUAUUCCCGGAGUAGGGGUGAAAUCCUAUAAUCCCGGGAGGACCACCUGUGGCGAAGGCGCUCGGCUGGAACGCGUCCGACGGUGAGGGACGAAGGCCAGGGGAGCAAACCGGAUUAGAUGCCCGGGUAGUCCUGGCUGUAAACGAUGCGGACUUUGUGUCGGACAAGCUAUGAGCUUGUCCGGUGCCGGAGGGAAACCGUUAAGUCCGCCGCCUGGGGAGUACGGCCGCAAGGCUGAAACUUAAAGGAAUUGGCGGG